GACGAACGCUGGCGGCGUGCCUAAUACAUGCAAGUCGAACGCAGUGGGGACGGGUGAGUAACACGUUGGUAACCUCCCAUCAGAGGGGAUAACACUUGGAAACAGGUGCUAAACCGAUACUGAUGGAUGGACCAGCGGUGCAUUAGCUAGUUGGGGAGGUAACGGCUCACCAAGGCCACGAUGCAUAGCCGGCCUGAGAGGGGGAUCGGCAACACUGGGACUGAGACACGGCCCAGACUCCUACGGGAGGCAGCAGUAGGGAACCUUCGGCAAUGGACGAAAGUCUGACCGAGCACCGCCGCGUGAGUGAAGCAGGUUUUCGGUUCGUAAACCUCUGUUGUUAGAGAGUCGGUAUCUAACCAGAAAGCCACGGCUAACUACGUGCCAGCAGCCGCGGUAAUAC
RNAcentral lists this ribosomal RNA (403 nucleotides) under uncultured bacterium. Its description in RNAcentral is "partial 16S ribosomal RNA". It matches the Rfam family "Bacterial small subunit ribosomal RNA", at positions 28 to 526 of the family's 1533-position model. The record is from RNAcentral.